This 68-nucleotide transfer RNA is filed under the name Marmota monax (woodchuck). Its description in RNAcentral is "tRNA.Ala". Lineage: Eukaryota; Metazoa; Chordata; Mammalia; Rodentia; Sciuridae. The record is from RNAcentral.
GGAAUAUAGCUAAGUGGUAGAGCACUUUUCUGGCAUGCAUGAGGCCCUGGGUUCCAUCCCCAAUACCA